UAUGUGUAUAUGUUUGUGUGUGUGUGUAUAUAUAUAUAUAUAUGCGCACGCACACACACUAUAUAUAUAUA
This is a non-coding RNA of Podarcis lilfordi (Lilford's wall lizard), 71 nucleotides long. NCBI's taxonomy places the organism in Eukaryota, Metazoa, Chordata, Lepidosauria, Squamata, Lacertidae. The record is from the annotation of a GenBank genome assembly.